GGGGAUAACUGGUUUUGACAGCAAGUAGAAGGGGUAUGUAAGCACGCCGAGCAUGGACAGCGCUCGUAAAUCGAGUCCAAAAAACUAACUGGCAACACUUCUUAUGCUCUCGCUGCCUAAUCGAAGUAUAGUAGAUUGGCGUCAUUUCGGCACAAGGUGCUGAAACGAGACAUCGCUCCAAGCCAAGCCUUGCGGCUGAUAGGAUAUAGCGGUGCGGAAAUAGCAAGGAUAGUUAGCGCAAGCUGCGAUGCACUAACGAAUCAUUAGCAGAUAAGGCAACGGUUGGUGGCUUGGGUCUUGCCGCUGCUCGAAAACCAAAACCAAGAUAAGCGUGUAGAAAGCAUAUCGAUUCCUUGUUUGGACGCGGGUUCGACUCCCGCUAUCUCCACU
RNAcentral lists this transfer-messenger RNA (390 nucleotides) under bovine gut metagenome. It matches the Rfam family "transfer-messenger RNA". From Rfam's summary of the family: Bacterial tmRNA, also known as 10Sa RNA or SsrA, is named for its dual tRNA and mRNA-like properties. Its role is to liberate the mRNA from a stalled ribosome. To accomplish this part of the tmRNA is used as a reading frame that ends in a translation stop signal. RNAcentral also lists the same sequence under 1 other name. The record is from RNAcentral.